Molecule: long non-coding RNA, 2479 nt
Filed under: Mus musculus (house mouse)
Lineage: Eukaryota; Metazoa; Chordata; Mammalia; Rodentia; Muridae
Description: long non-coding RNA chr1:162867077-162869556
Source: RNAcentral
UUUUUUUUUUUUUUUUUUUUAUCAAAGUAAUCUUUGAAAAAUGUUUGAUUUUGCUCAGCUCCAGAUUCCUCAAUUAAAAAUAUGUAAUUCAAUGGCUUCCUCAAAUAGUUAUUGUGGAGUUAGAUGAGGUAAUCUAUGUGAGAUGGUCAUGCGCAUAGGAAACUCUGGUGCAUAAGGGUGUUGAUAGUGUUAUGCAUUGCUCAAUUAUUAUUUUAUCAUUGAUCCUCAGUAUUGAAGAGAUUCCUACAGGCAUGAAAAAGAAAACUCCAAGAGACAUUGCUCAAUUAUUUUUUUAUCAUUGAUCCUCGGUAUUGAAGAGAUUCCUACAGGCAUGAAAAAGAAAACUCCAAGAGACACUGGUGGACUGAGGCAGUAAAAGGCUCUUGACAGGCUAAAUAUUUUCUUAACCAUUUCAGCACAGCCUGUAACUUCACUUCUGGAGGAUGCUAUAGAACAUCAAACAUUCCGAUUGUUUGUUCGGCUCAGCUCUGAUCUUGCUGACUCAUUAAGCACUUGGCAAGUCGACAACAUUGCUGGCUGUGAGUUCUUAGUUCAAGUUACCCUCCUGAAGCUCUGAGGAUGGUAGUCAUUGAAGGAUUUCAAAACUUAAAUUUGACCAUAAGGUAAGCCUUCAGGACGACUGUUAGCUCAGAUGUCCCUUUGAAUGUGACCUUCAGUCAGAAGCAUCUUAAGAGUUAGGACUAGGUUACUGUCCAAAGUUUAGCAUUCAAAUUACGUUGGUGUGUACAUGGAGAACACUAAAGGAGUCACUUGGCCCCGGUGGUGACAAACUGCACAUAAGGGAGAUUAGGCUACUGAGUGAUCAUAAACAUGAUCAUUUUACUAUAUUCAUUUCCAUAAUUGGCCAGAGACUUUUAUUAAUUAUUAAAUGAAUGAGGCAUCUGACCUUCACUGGUAGUUUCCAUUCUGGCUGCUUUUAGGGAUCAAUAUUAGUCACCUAUAGUUAAGGAUACAGGAUGAAGAAAGGCCUCUAGCCUGUUAGUCAAGUGAGCCACAUUGGUAGCCAAUAAAUUUUCUUUAGUGCCUAGGACUGGACUCAGUUGGUUCUUCAACCCAUGGGGAACCAGGAUACUGGUACAGGUGAGCAAGAAGUUGGCAAAGAGUGACAAACAGACAUUGACACAGAGAGAGUGCUGUAUCUGAACGUAAUGUCUCAAAGUGAGCAUCAGACUUAUAUUACAGAAGAAAACAAAGAAGUUAAGUGACACAUCAGCCAAGGUACAUUGAAGUUAUCUGACAUAAAACAGAGAAAUGCAUACAUAAAGACUGGCAGGAACCAGGCAGAGUUUACAACUGAGGUACUAUCAGCCCUAUCUAAAGUCAGCUAUUGAUAGGAUCCAGGUGAAAGGGCGAAUAUGCCCAGGUGCAAUUCUGGUCUAUUGAAUAACCCAGCACCAGAGUGUUUCCACUCUUGCUAACCUUUUCAUUAAUAAUACAAUACUCUAGUUCCUCCUUAAACCAUAACCCUCCUUGUUCCUAGACAACUGUAAAUUCCUGAAUAUGGGAGUGACUCGGCUGUAAUUCUAAGUUUACUUUGUUGAACUAGCCCUGAGAUUUUUAGUUCUUAUCCAGUAAAAUACUGCAAGAAAGCAUGCAAGACCCUCCACAUUUUCGCAGGGACAAAUCUGGUUAUGGGGCACCAGAGACUCUUCAGGAGACAAGUUUCUGUGGAACAAUUUGCCUCAGGACUGCAGCCAAGCUUUUGGACUUGCCACUCAGACUUCACUGGAGUGAGUGUGGACUUUAGGAAAUAGUAUAGAUUUGCACUAUAUGGCUCCCUAGUGGUUGGUUGGAAACAUGGUUAGUCUGCUCAAAUAACUGAGAGCCAAAGUAAGCAACAUGCCCGUUCUGGGCCAGAAUCGCGUAAGUAGACAGAACAAGCUCUUCAUUUGCAGUCCAAUAACCAUCCACUUUCAAGAAGGAUGUUCUUCUGUCUUGGAUAGGCCAGUAAGAAGUGCUGAGGCAUUGCCAAAAGGUCCCCAGUGUCUUAAGAAAAAUUCUGUUUUACUUCCAAGUAUUGCUAUUUGGUGAUGAAUACAUUGUGCCCAGCCAGCACUAAGCAAAGAACUAGAAGGCUGUUAACUGAAUCUUUCAUUCUAUCUCAAAAUCAUCUCCAUUUAAAAAUUUACUUUUAGUUUUAAUUAGUAUGUGUGAAUGUGCACAUGUGAUUGCAGGUGCCUGCAGAACCUGGAAGAGGACAUGCAGUCCCCUGAAGCUGGAGUUACAGGAGGUUGUGUGUUAUCUUAUGUGGGUGUUGGGAACUGGAUUCAGGUCUGCUGUAAGAUCAGUACUUGCUUUCGACUGCUGAGCCAUUUCUCCAGUCCCAUCGUCUUAAAUCUCCUUUUCUUCUCCCACUUUGAUUCGUUCUUAAAGCCAUAUAAUUUUAGAGCUGAAAAGCUACAUGGGGUUAGUUUUAGCCCCACUUAUAAAUUAUACCCUUUUCCUUUCAUGCCAUGCC